This 515-nucleotide ribosomal RNA is filed under the name uncultured bacterium. RNAcentral describes it as "bacterial SSU rRNA". It matches the Rfam family "Bacterial small subunit ribosomal RNA", at positions 8 to 518 of the family's 1533-position model. The record is from RNAcentral.
AGGGUUCGAUUCUGGCUCAGGAUGAACGCUAGCUACAGGCUUAACACAUGCAAGUCGAGGGGUAGCAGGGUAGCAAUACCGCUGACGACCGGCGCACGGGUGAGUAACACGUAUCCAACCUUCCCAUAACUCAGGGAUAGCCUUUCGAAAGAAAGAUUAAUACCUGAUAGUACUUUUUCAAGGCAUCUUGAAAAAAGUUAAAGAUUUAUUGGUUAUGGAUGGGAUGCGUUCCAUUAGAUAGUUGGUGAGGUAACGGCUCACCAAGUCUUCGAUGGAUAGGGGUUCUGAGAGGAAGGUCCCCCACAUUGGUACUGAGACACGGACCAAACUCCUACGGGAGGCAGCAGUGAGGAAUAUUGGUCAAUGGGCGAGAGCCUGAACCAGCCAAGUAGCGUGAAAAGGAUGAAGGUCCUAUGGAUUGUAAACUUCUUUUAUAGUAGAAUAAAGUGAGCCACGUGUGGUUUUUUGUAUGUAUACUAUGAAUAAGGAUCGGCUAACUCCGUGCCAGCCGCCGC